RNAcentral lists this ribosomal RNA (371 nucleotides) under uncultured bacterium. Its description in RNAcentral is "bacterial SSU rRNA". It matches the Rfam family "Bacterial small subunit ribosomal RNA", at positions 527 to 896 of the family's 1533-position model. The record is from RNAcentral.
GGAGGGUGCAAGCGUUGUUCGGAAUUACUGGGCGUAAAGAGCGUGUAGGCGGCUGAUCAAGUCGGGUGUGAAAGCCCGGGGCUUACCCCCGGAAGUGCGCUCGAAACUGGUCAGCUAGAGUAUGGGAGAGGGAAGUGGAAUUCCUGGUGUAGCGGUGAAAUGCGUAGAUAUCAGGAGGAACACCGGCGGCGAAGGCGGCUUCCUGGACCAAUACUGACGCUGAGACGCGAAAGCGUGGGGAGCAAACAGGAUUAGAUACCCUGGUAGUCCACGCUGUAAACGAUGGGCACUAGAUGCUGCGGGUAUUGACCCCUGCGGUGUCGUAGUUAACGCGUUAAGUGCCCCGCCUGGGGAGUACGGUCGCAAGAUUG